GACGAACGCUGGCGGCGUGCUUAACACAUGCAAGUCGAACGGAAAGGCCCUGCUUUUGUGGGGUGCUCGAGUGGCGAACGGGUGAGUAACACGUGAGUAACCUGCCCUUGACUUUGGGAUAACUUCAGGAAACUGGGGCUAAUACCGGAUAGGAGCUCCUGCUGCAUGGUGGGGGUUGGAAAGUUUCGGCGGUUGGGGAUGGACUCGCGGCUUAUCAGCUUGUUGGUGGGGUAGUGGCUUACCAAGGCUUUGACGGGUAGCCGGCCUGAGAGGGUGACCGGCGACACUGGGACUGAGAUACGGCGCAGACUCCUAUGGGAGGCAGAAGUGGGGAAUAUUGCGCAAUGGGCGGGAGCGUGAUGCAGAAACGCCGCGUGCGGGAUGACGGGCUUCGGGUUGUAAACCGCUUUCGCCUGUGACGAGGAGUGAGUGACGGUAAUGGGUAAAGAAGCACCGGCUAAAUACGUG
RNAcentral lists this ribosomal RNA (468 nucleotides) under uncultured bacterium. RNAcentral's name for it is "partial 16S ribosomal RNA". It matches the Rfam family "Bacterial small subunit ribosomal RNA", at positions 28 to 507 of the family's 1533-position model. The record is from RNAcentral.